UGUGUGUGUGAGGUGUGAGUGAGGGGAGGAGGAUGGAACAGGACGCCCCCGCGCCCCCGCCCGCCCCUCGGCCCCGCCGCCCCCGCUGCUGAGCCGCCCCCGCGCCGCCCGCCCCGCCCGCCGCGGCGGAGGGCGCCGGGCACGGCUGCGGGCGGUGGGGGGGGGGGGUGGGGGGUGGGUCUCAGGUAAGGGGCGGCCGCGCUCGCCCGGGCUGUGUCGGUGUGUGUGGGAGGCCUGGGGAGGGAGUGCGAGCCCCUGGCGGGGGAAGCCGAGGUCGCCUGGGCGUGUGGGAGGGGAUAUGAGGGUCUCAUCCGCGAGCUGGAGAGCGAGCGCUGGGUACAAGGGGUUUGUGAAAGGACUCCUGGGAAGUUCAACCUUUCCCGUCCCUCCCCUUUUUUUCCUUUUUUUUUUUUUUUUUUUUCUUUAAGUAAAAAAAAAAUGUUUGUUUACGUGUGUUCGAAGACGCCCUCGUGCUGCCUGGUGGGGUGCUCACCUGUUUUUCUGUCCCGGAAGAAUGUUUUUUUGCAAUAAUUGUCAAGUUCUGUGUGGGGAUUGGUGUUUUCGUUGAAGAGAUAAUCGAUUAAAACUGCUGGAGAAGAUGGAUGCACGGUGCUCAUAUUGUAGUAGGUGGACAGGCUGUGUUGGGAAUGCUUGAGGACGGCUUUCGAGCUACUGCUCUGCUGCUGAACAGCAUGCAGUCCUUUCGGGAGCAAAGUAGUUAUCACGGAAACCAGCAGAGCUACCCGCAGGAAGUGCACACUUCAUCCCGACUGGAAGAGUUCAGCCCCCGCCAGCAGGCCCAGAUGUUCCAGAGCUUUGGAGGAGGUGCUGGCAGUGGACGUCGUGGAGCAGCAGGAGCCUCUACAGCAAUGCCUGGUGAGAGCUCUGGCCAUCAGAGCUACCAAGGUUUCAGAAAAGAAGCAGGAGAGUUUUACUAUAUGGCUGCCAACAAAGAUCCAGUGGUGUCAGGAGGGCAGCAGCCACCUCAGCGCAGGCCUUCUGGACCGGUACAGAGCUAUGGGCCCCCUCAAGGGAGUAGCUUUGGGAGUCAGUAUGGGAGUGAGGGACAUGUGGGCCAGUUCCAAACACAGCACUCGACCCUUGGGGGUGUAUCCCACUAUCAACAGGAUUAUACUGGUCCUUUUUCUCCAGGGAGUGCCCAGUAUCAGCAGCAGGCUUCUAGCCAGCAGCAGCAGGUGCAGCAGCUGAGACAGCAGAUCUAUCAAUCUCAUCAGCCUUUACCCCAGGCUUCCAGCCAGUCUGCUUCUAGCACCUCACACUUGCAGCCAAUGCAGCGUCCAUCCACACUGCCUUCCUCUGCUUCAGGCUACCAGUUACGAGUGGGUCAGUUCAGCCAACACUAUCAGCCACCUUCGUCAUCCUCCUCCUCCUCUUUCCCUUCCCCACAGCGUUUUGGCCAGUCAGGACAGAAUUAUGACGGGAGCUACAAUGUGAAUUCUGGAUCGCAGUACGAAGGCCAUGCUGUGGGUUCCAAUGCGCAGGGCUAUGGGACCCAGUCCAACUACAGCUUUCAAACUCAACCGAUGAAAAGCUUUGAACAGUCUAAGCUGCCCCAAAGUGGGCAGCAGGGGCAGCAGCAACAGCACCCACCUCAGCACGUAAUGCAGUAUUCAAAUGCUGCCACCAAACUCUCUCUUCAAAGUCAAGUGGGACAGUACAGCCAGACUGAAGUUCCUGUAAGGUCACCGAUGCAGUUCCACCAAAACUUCAGCCCAAUCUCUAAUCCGUCUCCUGCUGCAUCUGUGGUUCAGUCUCCAAGCUGCAGCUCUACCCCUUCUCCACUCAUGCCAGGUGGAGAAAAUCUCCAGUGUGGGCAAGGCAACAUGUCCAUGGGUUCUAGAAACCGAAUCCUGCAGAUGAUGCCUCAGCUUAGUCCUACACCAUCUAUGAUGCCAAGCCCCAAUGCUCAUGCAAGUGGAUUCAAGGGUUUUGGACUGGAAGGACUGCAGGAAAAAAGGCUCACAGACCCAGGACUGAGCAGCCUGAGUGCUCUAAGUUCUCAAGUUGCCAAUCUGCCCAACACAGUCCAGCACAUGUUGCUCUCAGAUGCCUUGGCACCUCAGAAAAAAAGUUCUAAAAGAUCAUCCUCUUCCAAGAAGGCCGACAGCUGCACCAACUCAGAAGGCUCCUCCCAGACAGAGGAGCAACUCAAGUCUCCCAUGGCAGAGUCCCUGGAUGGUGGCUGUUCCAGUAGUUCAGAGGAUCAUGGGGAGAGGGUGAGACAGCUGAGUGGCCAGAGCACCAGCUCAGACACCACUUACAAAGGGGGCAAUUUAGAGAGACCCAACUCCUCACCAGCACAAGGGUCUCAGAAUGAGCCAUCAAAACUCAGCAGCAGUCCUGCAGCUAGGGAAGAUGUGACCUCCCCUGAUGGGAAGGAGGCUGUGGUGGCUGUGGAAAAUGCCCCAAAAGUGAAUGAAAAGGCAGUUGGGGUGAUUGUCUCCCGGGAAGCCAUGACAGGAAGAGUAGAAAAGUCAGGUGGACAAGAUAAACCUGCACAAGAUGAUGCUUCCACAGCCCCUCAGGCACCAGGUAGCACUAGUGCAGCAAAAGAAGCUGGGCAUACAGGGACACAGCAAGAAACUCAAGGAGGAGGUAAAGGGAGCAAAAGUGGUGAUAACACUAACCAUAAUGGGGAGGGGAAUAGCCAGUCUGGUCAUGCAGUUGUUGGGCCAAAUUUUCCUGCAAGAACAGAAUCUUCCAAGUCUCCUGGCAGUUUAAGAUACAGCUACAAGGAUAAUAUAGCACCUGGUAUACAAAGAAGUAUUGGUGGCUUUCCACAGUAUCCAUCUGGUCAAGAAAAGGGGGAUUUUCCAGGGCAUGGUGAGCGCAAAGGCCGUAAUGAGAAGUUUCCUAGCCUCCUACAAGAGGUUUUACAGGGGUACCACCAUCAUCCAGACAGAAGGUAUUCUAGGAAUGCUCAGGAGCAUUCUGGGAUGGCUGGGAGUUUGGAGGGAGCCAUGAGGCCCAAUGUUUUAAUUAGUCAAACCAACGAAUUGACCAAUAGAGGUCUCUUAAACAAAAGCAUGGGGUCCCUCCUGGAAGGCCCUCACUGGGGUCCCUGGGAUAGGAAGUCUAGCAGUGCAGCUCCAGACAUGAAGCAGAUAAAUUUAGCUGAUUACCCUAUUGCUAGAAAGUUUGAUAUGGAGUCUCAGGCUGCUGCCCAUGAGGCAGGAGCACUCUCAGAGAGGAGAUCAGUGAUCUGUGACAUAUCUCCAUUAAGGCAACUUGUAAGAGAUCCUGGCUCUCACCCCAUGGGGCACAUGGGUCCUGAGGCCAGAAGUGGAAGGAGUGAACGUCUUGCUCCCGGCUUGAGCCAGUCAGUAAUACUCCCUGGUGGUUUAGUAUCCAUGGAAACGAAGAUGAAAGCUCACAGUGGGCAAAUAAAGGAAGAAGAUUUUGAGCAGUCAAAGAGCUCAGCUAGUCUCAAUAAUAAAAAAACAGGAGACCAUUGUCAUCCUGCUGGCAUCAAACAUGAAUCUUUUCGAGGCAAUGCCAGCCCUGGAGCUGCAGUCUCUGAUGCUGCUCCAGACUACAUGCCCCAGCAGGACAGCAGAUCGACACAGAUGAGACGAGGACCUGGCAGAACUGGAAGGGGUAAAUCACCCUCUCAAUAUCAGGAUCUUGCUGAUAAGCUGAAAAUGUCACCAGGCAGAAGCAGAGGCCCAGGGGCAGAUCUGCAUCACAUGAACCCACACAUGACACUGUCUGAAAGAGUUAGCAGGAGUUCUUUGCAUUCUGUCUACCCUCAGAAUUCAGAAGGCCCAUCUCUGGCUUCAGCAUAUCACACAAAUGCUAGGCCUCAUGCUUUUGGUGACCCCAGCCAGAGCCUGAAUUCCCAGUAUCAUUACAAGAGACAGAUAUACCAGCAACAGCAAGAAGAGUACAAAGAUUGGGCAAGCAGCGCUGCUCAGGGUGUGAUUGCUGCAGCUCAGCACAGGCAGGAAGGAGCAAGGAAGAGCCCAAGACAACAGCAGUUUCUGGAAAGAGUAAGGAGUCCCUUAAAAAAUGACAAGGAUGGAAUGAUGUACCUUCAAGGUAGCUCUUACCAUGAUACUGGAAGUCAGGAAGCUGGGCGCUGUGUCAUGGGGAGUGACAGUACUCAGAGCAAAUGCACUGAACUGAAACAUGGCAACCAGAAGUUGCAGCAUCAUGAAUCUGGUUGGGACCUCUCUCGGCAAACUUCUCCUGCCAAAAGCAGCGGCCCUCUUGGAGCAGCCAACCAAAAAAGAUUUUGCCCUCAAGAAAGCGAUGGGCAUCGACGAGAGGAAUCUACAGAUUUGCCCAAGCCUAGCAAUGCUAUGCUUAGGCUCCCUGGCCAGGAAGACCAGUCCCCUCAAAACCCAUUGAUCAUGAGGAGGAGGGUCCGUUCUUUCAUCUCUCCUAUCCCUACCAAAAGACAGCCACAUGAUAUGAAGAACAGUGGUGGUGAAGAUAAAGGGCGACUGAUGACUUCAGCAAAAGAAGGAGCCGAUAAAACAUACAACUCCUAUGCCCAUUCUUCUCAAAGCCAAGAUGCUGGCAAGUCAAUUGCAAAGGGAGAUUCCUUCAAGGACCUGCCAAGUCCUGAUAAUAGGAAUUGUCCUGCUGUUUCCCUCACGAGCCCGGCGAAGACCAAAAUACUGCCCCCAAGAAAGGGGCGAGGAUUAAAACUGGAAGCUAUUGUUCAAAAAAUUACAUCUCCCAAUAUCAGGAGGAGUGUUUCUACCAACAGUGCUGAAACUGGUCCAGAUACUGUCACUCUUGAUGACAUCCUGUCCCUCAAGAGUGGACCUGAAGGAGGAAAUGUGGCUGGACACGGACCAGAGGCUGAGAAGAGAAAAGGAGAGAUGUCAGAUCAAGUGGGGCCAGCAAGCCAGGAUACAACUGAAAAAGGUGAAAAAACUGUUCCAAGAUCUUCAGAAGAAUGGCAAAGCAGCGAGGAUGAUAAAAACAAAAAAGAGGUCCCUGAAACUGCCAGUAUUGGCAAAGAAGGAGCAGGACCCAGUGCAGCACCACCACCUUCUCAGAAGUCAGGUGGUCAGGGAAGGUCCGAUGGAUCUGUAAGUGGAGCUGGAACUCUGACCUUUUCUGACUCAAAAACUAUUUCCCCUUCCAGCGUGUUCAUUUCUGAACCAAAUCCAAAGUCUGAGGAAAAAGAUGGAGAUGUGACAAACAUUUCACCCAAGCCAGACGGUUUCCCUCCGAAGGGAUAUUUCCCCUCUGGAAAGAAAAAAGGGAGGCCAAUUGGGAGUGUGAACAAGCAGAAGAAGCAGCAGCAACAGCAGCAGCUGCCUGUACCCCCACCUCCCCCACCAGCACCAUCACAGCCUGCAGAAGGGGUGGGUGCUGGUGAGCCAAAGCCCAAGAGGCAAAGGAGGGAGAGGCGAAAACCUGCAGCGCAGCCACGGAAGCGGAAGCCUAGACGGGCUGCUCCCAUCGUGGAGCCUCAAGAACCAGAGAUCAAGCUUAAGUAUGCUACUCAGUCUGUAGAUAAAACUGACUCCAAGAAUAAGUCCUUUUUCCCUUAUAUUCAUGUGGUAAACAAGUGUGAAUUAGGCGCUGUGUGCACAAUCAUAAAUGCGGAGGAAGAGGAGCAGAACAAACUGGUGAGGGGUCGGAAAGGACAGAGGUCUUCAACACCCCCUCCUAGCAAUGCGGAGAGCAAAGCGCUGCCCACCUCAACUUUCAUGCUGCAAGGCCCUGUAGUAACGGAGUCUUCUGUCUUGGGGCAUCUGGUUUGCUGCCUGUGUGGCAAAUGGGCCAGCUACCGUAACAUGGGUGACCUCUUUGGUCCUUUCUACCCCCAGGAUUAUGCAGCUACCUUGCCCAAGAAUCCACCUCCAAAGAGGGCCACAGAAAUGCAGAGCAAGGUCAAGGUACGGCACAAAAGUGCUUCUAAUGGUUCCAAGACAGAUACUGAAGAGGAGGAGGAACAGCAACAACAGAAAGAACAAAGAAGCCUGGCUGCUCAUCCCCGCUUUAAGAGGCGGCACCGCUCUGAGGACUGUAGCGGUGCCUCUCGGUCACUUUCAAGGGGAGCUUCUUGUAAAAAAGCAACCACUGAUGGUGGCAGUGGUGGUGAAAAGACUCCUUUGGACUCAAAACCGUCUAUGCCCACUUCAGAAAGUGGCACUGAGCUGGAGUUACAAAUUCCUGAACUACCUCUUGACAGCAAUGAAUUUUGGGUCCAUGAGGGUUGUAUUCUCUGGGCCAAUGGGAUCUACCUGGUCUGUGGCAGGCUCUAUGGGCUGCAGGAAGCUGUGGAGAUUGCAAGAGAGAUGAAAUGUUCCCAUUGCCAGGAACCAGGAGCCACCUUAGGCUGCUACAACAAAGGCUGCUCCUUCCGAUACCAUUACCCAUGUGCCGUCGAUGCAGAUUGUUUACUAAACGAAGAGAAUUUCUCAGUGAGGUGCCCCAAGCACAAGCCCCUCCUUCCUUGCUCUCUUCCCUCCUUGCAGAACAAGAUGGUGAAAGGCAGCCUCAGCACAGAGCAGUCGGAGCGGGGGUGAGGGGGGAAGUGUACUCCUGGGAAUGGAUAUAAAAGCAAGCACAGUAAAGUCAUGAAGUGCUUCCAAUGGUGUUUUGGUGAAGGGUGAGAGAUUAAUUGGAAGAUUGUGGGGUUUUGGUGCAGUAGCAGAAGACAGGUUAGGCUGUUGAGAUAAA
Molecule: RNA transcript, 6666 nt
Organism: Cinclus cinclus
Lineage: Eukaryota; Metazoa; Chordata; Aves; Passeriformes; Cinclidae
Gene: TCF20
Gene name: transcription factor 20
Exons: 7
Source: RefSeq, a predicted model, not a curated record